UUAACGGAGAGUUUGAUCCUGGCUCAGGACGAACGCUGGCGGCGUGCCUAAUACAUGCAAGUCGAGCGGACAGAAGGGAGCUUGCUCCCGGACGUUAGCGGCGGACGGGUGAGUAACACGUGGGCAACCUGCCCCUU
RNAcentral lists this ribosomal RNA (137 nucleotides) under Shouchella rhizosphaerae. RNAcentral's name for it is "partial 16S ribosomal RNA". It matches the Rfam family "Bacterial small subunit ribosomal RNA", at positions 1 to 134 of the family's 1533-position model. Lineage: Bacteria; Bacillati; Bacillota; Bacilli; Caryophanales; Bacillaceae. The record is from RNAcentral.